This 497-nucleotide ribosomal RNA is filed under the name uncultured bacterium. Its description in RNAcentral is "partial 16S ribosomal RNA". It matches the Rfam family "Bacterial small subunit ribosomal RNA", at positions 28 to 507 of the family's 1533-position model. The record is from RNAcentral.
GAUGAACGCUGGCGGCGUGCCUAAUACAUGCAAGUCGAGCGAACAGACGAGGAGCUUGCUCCUCUGACGUUAGCGGCGGACGGGUGAGUAACACGUGGAUAACCUACCUAUAAGACUGGGAUAACUUCGGGAAACCGGAGCUAAUACCGGAUAAUAUAUUGAACCGCAUGGUUCAAUAGUGAAAGACGGUUUUGCUGUCACUUAUAGAUGGAUCCGCGCCGCAUUAGCUAGUUGGUAAGGUAACGGCUUACCAAGGCAACGAUGCGUAGCCGACCUGAGAGGGUGAUCGGCCACACUGGAGCUGAGACACGGUCCAGACUCCUACGGGAGGCAGCAGUAGGGAAUCUUCCGCAAUGGGCGAAAGCCUGACGGAGCAACGCCGCGUGAGUGAUGAAGGUCUUCGGAUCGUAAAACUCUGUUAUUAGGGAAGAACAAAUGUGUAAGUAACUAUGUACGUCUUGACGGUACCUAAUCAGAAAGCCACGGCUAACUACGUG